ACAUAUGUGUGCUCUUUUUCCCUAUCUUUGGUUUUGUCCCACUGGGUUUUCCAAAGAUAGGUUUUUAAUGAGGCCAUAUGUUGCUUUCCUAUCACUCAUUUGAUGAUCUCAGUUCAAGACUUUAUUUUAAUUAUUUAUCUUUGUUAACAUGAAGCAGAAUUAGGCUGCUAGACUUGAGAAUUAAGCUGCCAGACUUGAGAACCCUUAUAAGGUUUUAUAAGGUUUUUAUAAGGUUUUAUAAGGUUUAUUUUUAAGGCCCAUUUAGAGACCAAGGAGCCUGUUCCUUGCCUUCUCUAUAAAUAUGUGUCUGAAAACCCUAAUAGAACUAUCCAAUCUUUUAUUUUCAGACUCUUGUCUCUCUCUGACGGCUGCAAGUCUUCUUGUAGAUCUGAGAUUUCUUGAGUCUUUGUUAGUGUGUCAUAUCUAACAAAACCACAAGAGUGAUUGUCUUGGUGUGUCAUAUCCAAGGGAUUCACUUAGGAGUAUCAAGGAGACCUCUCACAUCUCUUUGUGUUACCAUUCAUUCCACAAACCUUGAAGCAGAUUGAGUCUUUGAUUCUCUGUUUGCAAGGAUCUAUCCCAUUCCAACCAGAGAAGCAUCCUAGGAGUGUUUUAUUUGGUAUCAGAGCAAAUCUCUGGAAGGAAGUUUCUAAACUCUCUAUUUCUAUUUUCAAUUUCGAAAUUUUCUUACAAACCCUAGAUCUGAAAAAAAAAAAUUGAAAUUGUUCUAAUCUGUUUAGAUCUGUUUUGUUUGGGUUUGUGGUCGAAAUUCUCUGUCUAGAUUUGAAUCUGAUUCGAUUUGGGCUUGAAUAGGUUGAGUUUCUCUUGAUCUGUUUGAGUUUUUGGUCAAUCUGUUCUAGAUCUAAUCUCAGGUGGAGUAUCUGAUUAUGGUCUGAUUUAGGGCUUGUUAUUUUCAAUCUGAGUUCAAU
RNAcentral lists this long non-coding RNA (929 nucleotides) under Brassica napus (rape). RNAcentral's name for it is "long non-coding RNA (BNAP_LNC014086)". Lineage: Eukaryota; Viridiplantae; Streptophyta; Magnoliopsida; Brassicales; Brassicaceae. The record is from RNAcentral.